GACGAACGCUGGCGGCGUGCUUAACACAUGCAAGUCGAACGGUAAGGCCCUUCGGGGUACACGAGUGGCGAACGGGUGAGUAACACGUGGGUGAUCUGCCCUGCACUUCGGGAUAAGCCUGGGAAACUGGGUCUAAUACCGGAUAGGACCACUGCCUGCAUGGGUGGUGGUGGAAAGCUUUUGCGGUGUGGGAUGGGCCCGCGGCCUAUCAGCUUGUUGGUGGGGUGAUGGCCUACCAAGGCGACGACGGGUAGCCGGCCUGAGAGGGUGACCGGCCACACUGGGACUGAGAUACGGCCCAGACUCCUACGGGAGGCAGCAGUGGGGAAUAUUGCACAAUGGGCGCAAGCCUGAUGCAGCGACGCCGCGUGAGGGAUGACGGCCUUCGGGUUGUAAACCUCUUUCAGCAUCGACGAGGCGAAAGUGACGGUAGGUGCAGAAGAAGGACCGGCCAACUACGUGCCAGCAGCCGCAGUAA
RNAcentral lists this ribosomal RNA (478 nucleotides) under uncultured bacterium. Its description in RNAcentral is "partial 16S ribosomal RNA". It matches the Rfam family "Bacterial small subunit ribosomal RNA", at positions 28 to 523 of the family's 1533-position model. The record is from RNAcentral.